UACAGAGACUGCAAGCGUUAUUCGGAUUCACUGGGCGUAAAGAGCGUGUAGGCGGCCAGAAAAGUCCGCUGUGAAAACUCGAGGCUCAACUUCGAGCUGUCGGUGGAAACUUUCUGGCUUGAGUCCGGAAGAGGAGAAUGGAAUUCCUGGUGUAGCGGUGAAAUGCGCAGAUAUCAGGAAGAACACCCGUGGCGAAGGCGGUUCUCUGGGACGGUACUGACGCUGAGACGCGAAAGCGUGGGGAGCGAACAGG
RNAcentral lists this ribosomal RNA (253 nucleotides) under uncultured prokaryote. Its description in RNAcentral is "partial 16S ribosomal RNA". It matches the Rfam family "Bacterial small subunit ribosomal RNA", at positions 524 to 776 of the family's 1533-position model. The record is from RNAcentral.